GAUGAAGAACGUAGCGAAAUGCGAUAAGUAAUGUGAAUUGCAGAAUUCAGUGAAUCAUCGAAUCUUUGAACGCACAUUGCGCCCCUUGGUAUUCCGAGGGGCAUGCUUGUUCGAGCGUCAUUAUAACCCUCAAGCUCAGCUUGGUGUUGGGGCCUGCUGCAGUGGCAGCCCUUAAAAUCAGUGGCGGCGCCAUCUGGCUCUAAGCGUAGUAAUUCUUCUCGCUAUGGAGUCCUGGUGGAUGCUUGCCAUCAACCCCCAAUUUUUCUAUGGUUGACCUCGGAUCAGGUAGGGAUACCCGCUGAACUUAAGCAUAUCAAUAAGCGGAGGA
Molecule: unclassified non-coding RNA, 328 nt
Filed under: soil metagenome
Description: partial contains 5.8S ribosomal RNA, internal transcribed spacer 2, and large subunit ribosomal RNA
Rfam family: 5.8S ribosomal RNA (bases 1-120)
Source: RNAcentral